AAUAAAACCAAGGACUGGAAAAAGCUGAUGGUUGUCUCAAGCAGGCCGGCACUCCUUCCACCCUCAGUGCACAUGAACACCUGCAAUUGCAAAAGAAUGUCUGGCAGAUUCCUCUGUGAAGCAGGAACCCUUGAAGGACCAUCCCAUCUUGUCUUGGCAAGUUCAGCAGUCAUUUUUCUGUGGAUCCUGCACAUCCAGUUCACACAGCAUAUAGUCAAGCAGUUCAGGCAAGAGCAGUUUCCUGCCCAAAUGGCUAGCCCUGCUACACUGGAGGCACACUCUGUAACAAGUUUUUUCGAUGCCCAUCAUCCUCUCUGACAUAAUUGGUGCUGCCAGGAGCAGAUGUGACUCAUGUCAACAGAAUUCUAAAUUACUGAAACAUUUAAAUGCCGUGUUCUGUAGGUCUUAUUUAUACAAAAAGGGGGAAUUGUUGUGGGAACUCAUUCAACCAAUAGCUUUUGAGGUACCAGUCCCUUCUAUGUGUGGUCUCAGCUGCUAUGUGUCGUAGUCAGAGAUCUGAUCACAGUUUCCUGUGCCCCCAGGGCAGAAGACUGAGGUGGCUCUCUACCUUUAUUGUGUGACUAUUCCCCAAAUAAAUAUUUGAUAUCCUUCUAUUAGGACUUUUGCGGGCUCUCUUAUUCAUGCCUGCAAUUCAUGGUGGCCCAAGUCUGUAAUCCUAACACUCAGCUGAGGCAAGAGGAUUGUUUAGAGUUCAAGGCCAGUCUGAGCUACAUGAAAUCUAUGUCUUAAAAGCAAUCAAAUAGGGGUCAGGGAGAUGGGUCAACAAGUUAGGGCACUUGCUGUCAAACCUAUUGAUCCCAGUUCAAUAUCUGGGACCCACAUGGUGGAAG
RNAcentral lists this long non-coding RNA (851 nucleotides) under Cricetulus griseus (Chinese hamster). Its description in RNAcentral is "lncRNA (ENSCGRG00015037927.1)". Lineage: Eukaryota; Metazoa; Chordata; Mammalia; Rodentia; Cricetidae. The record is from RNAcentral.